AAACACAACACAUCAGUUUGUAGGUUUUGCGUGAGGGAAGGAAGGGCAAAAGAUAAUAAUAAUGCAAAGAUGGAUGUCAGAAUCUAGACCAGAGGUCUCCAAACUUGACAACUUUAAGACUUCUUUAGGAAUUCUGGAAGUUGAAGUCCA
Non-coding RNA from Pseudonaja textilis, 150 nucleotides. The record is from RefSeq and is a predicted model, not a curated record. Lineage: Eukaryota; Metazoa; Chordata; Lepidosauria; Squamata; Elapidae.